GAUGAAGAACGUAGCGAAAUGCGAUAAGUAAUGUGAAUUGCAGAAUUCAGUGAAUCAUCGAAUCUUUGAACGCACAUUGCGCCCGCCAGUAUUCUGGCGGGCAUGCCUGUCUGAGCGUCAUUUCAACCCUCAUGCCCCUAGGGCGUGGUGUUGGGGAUCGGCCAAAGCCCGCGAGGGACGGCCGGCCCCUAAAUCUAGUGGCGGACCCGUCGUGGCCUCCUCUGCGAAGUAGUGAUAUUCCGCAUCGGAGAGCGAUGAGCCCCUGCCGUUAAACCCCCAACUUUCCAAGGUUGACCUCAGAUCAGGUAGGAAUACCCGCUGUACUUAAGCAUAUCAAUAAGCGGAGGA
This 348-nucleotide unclassified non-coding RNA is filed under the name soil metagenome. RNAcentral's name for it is "partial contains 5.8S ribosomal RNA, internal transcribed spacer 2, and large subunit ribosomal RNA". The stretch from base 1 to 120 matches the Rfam family "5.8S ribosomal RNA", at positions 35 to 154 of the family's 154-position model. The record is from RNAcentral.